RNAcentral lists this ribosomal RNA (276 nucleotides) under uncultured bacterium. RNAcentral's name for it is "partial 16S ribosomal RNA". It matches the Rfam family "Bacterial small subunit ribosomal RNA", at positions 79 to 353 of the family's 1533-position model. The record is from RNAcentral.
CUAAGUUUGAUGGCGACCGGCGCACGGGUGAGUAACACGUAUCCAACCUGCCGAUGACUCGGGGAUAGCCUUUCGAAAGAAAGAAUUAAUACCCGAUGGCAUAGUUCUUCCGCAUGGUGGAACUAUUAAAGAAUUUCGGUCAUCGAUGGGGAUGCGUUCCAUUAGGUUGUUGGCGGGGUAACGGCCCACCAAGCCUUCGAUGGAUAGGGGUUCUGAGAGGAAGGUCCCCCACAUUGGAACUGAGACACGGUCCAAACUCCUACGGGAGGCAGCAUG